GAUGAACGCUAGCUACAGGCUUAACACAUGCAAGUCGAGGGGCAGCAUUACGGUAGCUUGCUACUGUAGAUGGCGACCGGCGCACGGGUGAGUAACGCGUAUCCAACCUGCCCAUGACUUGGGGAUAACCUUGCGAAAGCAAGCCUAAUACCCGAUACGCUUCAUAGAUGGCAUCUGAAAUGAAGUAAAGGUUUACGGUUAUGGAUGGGGAUGCGUCCGAUUAGCUUGUUGGCGGGGUAACGGCCCACCAAGGCAUCGAUCGGUAGGGGUUCUGAGAGGAAGGUCCCCCACAUUGGAACUGAGACACGGUCCAAACUCCUACGGGAGGCAGCAGUGAGGAAUAUUGGUCAAUGGAGGCAACUCUGAACCAGCCAAGUAGCGUGCAGGAUGACGGCCCUAUGGGUUGUAAACUGCUUUUAUGCGGGGAUAAAUUGACUCACGUGUGGGUUAUUGCAGGUACCGCAUGAAUAAGGACCGGCUAAUUCCGUGCCAGCAGCCGCGGUAAUACGGAAGGUCCGGGCGUUAUCCGGAUUUAUUGGGUUUAAAGGGAGCGUAGGCCGUUGUUUAAGCGUGUUGUGAAAUGUCCCGGCUCAACCGUGGCACUGCAGCGCGAACUGGACGACUUGAGUGCGCGGAACGUAUGCGGAAUUUGUGGUGUAGCGGUGAAAUGCUUAGAUAUCACGAAGAACUCCGAUUGCGAAGGCAGCAUACGGCAGCGCUACUGACGCUGAAGCUCGAAAGCGCGGGUAUCGAACAGG
This 758-nucleotide ribosomal RNA is filed under the name uncultured bacterium. RNAcentral's name for it is "bacterial SSU rRNA". It matches the Rfam family "Bacterial small subunit ribosomal RNA", at positions 28 to 776 of the family's 1533-position model. The record is from RNAcentral.